Clupea harengus (Atlantic herring) is the source of this 361-nucleotide long non-coding RNA. RefSeq lists it as uncharacterized. The transcript has 3 exons. The record is from RefSeq and is a predicted model, not a curated record. Lineage: Eukaryota; Metazoa; Chordata; Actinopteri; Clupeiformes; Clupeidae.
ACGCUUUUAGCUGAGUGUCAGAGUCAACCACAACCCUCAACAUAUUUAACCAGGCAGUUCUCAGCCAACUGUCAUUUGAGGGUGAAACAGUGUGAUGAACAACAAAGACUUCUCUCAGCAUUAUAAUUGCAGGUUGACGUAGACAUGCACUUCUGUGAAGGAAACACAUGUUUGGUUGCAUUCCUUCUGUCUCUACCAGGUGUUCUAGAUUGCUGGAGUGUGACCUACACUCUUCAGAGUAUCUGUGCCAUGAGGGGAUCAUCAGUGACUAUGGGCUGCUCUUACUCAUAUCCAGAUAGAGUAACAGUGACUGAACCAUUCUGGCAUGAACAAGAGACAUGGGAAGAUUUAAGCAAGAAGG